GAACGCGAAGAACCUUACCUACCCUUGACAUGCCUGGAACCCUGCUGAGAGGUGGGGGUGCCCGAAAGGGAGCCGGGACACAGGUGCUGCAUGGCUGUCGUCAGCUCGUGUCGUGAGAUGUUGGGUUAAGUCCCGCAACGAGCGCAACCCUUGUCGUUAAUUGCCAUCAUUUAGUUGGGCACUUUAACGAGACUGCCGGUGACAAACCGGAGGAAGGUGGGGAUGACGUCAAGUCCUCAUGGCCCUUAUGGGUAGGGCUUCACACGUCAUACAAUGGCGCAUACAGAGGGUUGCGAAGCCGCGAGGUGAAGCCAAUCCCAGAAAGUGCGUCGUAGUCCGGAUUGCAGUCUGCAACUCGACUGCAUGAAGUCGGAAUCGCUAGUAAUCGCGGAUCAGCAUGUCGCGGUGAAUACGUUCCCGGGUCUUGUACACACC
RNAcentral lists this ribosomal RNA (435 nucleotides) under uncultured bacterium. Its description in RNAcentral is "bacterial SSU rRNA". It matches the Rfam family "Bacterial small subunit ribosomal RNA", at positions 957 to 1391 of the family's 1533-position model. The record is from RNAcentral.